RNAcentral lists this ribosomal RNA (506 nucleotides) under uncultured bacterium. RNAcentral describes it as "bacterial SSU rRNA". It matches the Rfam family "Bacterial small subunit ribosomal RNA", at positions 772 to 1275 of the family's 1533-position model. The record is from RNAcentral.
ACUCAAUAGAUACCCGGGUAGUCCUUGCUGUAAACUAUGUAUACUUGGUGUAACUGGACUCAAACCCUAGUUGUGCCGGAGCUAAACGCGUUAAGUAUACCGCCUGGGGAGUACAGUCGCAAGGCUGAAACUCAAAAGAAUUGACGGGGACCCGCACAAGCAGUGGAGCAUGUGGUUUAAUUCGAUGCAACGCGAAGAACCUUACCCAGACUUGACAUGCAGUAGACCGAUCCAGAAAUGGGUCUUUCCUUCGGGACUGCUGCACAGGUGCUGCAUGGCUGUCGUCAGCUCGUGCCGUGAGGUGUUGGGUUAAGUCCCGCAACGAGCGCAACCCUUAUCAUUAGUUGCCAACAUUUAACGGUGGGAACUCUAAUGAGACUGCCUGGGUUAACCCAGGAGGAAGGUGAGGAUGACGUCAAGUCCGCAUGGCCCUUAUGUCUGGGGCUACACACGUGCUACAAUGGUCGGUACAGAAGGCAGCAAAGCCGUGAGGUGGAGCAAAUCCC